This is a long non-coding RNA of Schistocerca gregaria, 525 nucleotides long. RefSeq lists it as uncharacterized. Lineage: Eukaryota; Metazoa; Arthropoda; Insecta; Orthoptera; Acrididae. The transcript is spliced from 3 exons. The record is from RefSeq and is a predicted model, not a curated record.
UUGAGUGUGUACAGUGUAAUGGGUGACCGAACUGUUGAAACUAGGUGAGUUGCAGAUUAGCUCCAGGAAGAACGACGACUCAGGAUAAUGGUUUAAUAGUACACGGACACUAAACGGUUUCGAAAUGAAGAACAAGCAGCCAACACUGUAAGCAGUAAAUGAUUUUUUCAUUCAACGAGUGCACCAGUGUAUCAGUGUCUAGGGUCACCUCUUUGAGACCUUCGAAUAUUCUUCUCCUGGGCAAUGGAACAGAUUGUUUCCCACAAAUCGACAUGCACUUUUGGACAACAUACGUAUAUUUAUUGUCUACAGAUGGAUAAUUAAUAAAUAAAUAAAAUUCCAUUCUAAAAGUUGGUUAAACACAUUAAAGGCUCACGGAAUACAACCAGUGUUUAUAUCUUUCUAUUUGCCUCACUGUUCCAUCUAAGAGGAUUAUGGAGAGAUUAAUAAGAUUUGUGGAUUGUACUGUCAUAAACAAAAUUAGAAAAACAAACAAGGAACCAAUUGAUAACAUAAGAGACUCGG